UGGACAGAUUAUUGUAUUCGACUGUAUUCACAGCAUGGAAUGGGGGAUUACAUUGUUUUAAAUGGAAAAUGAAUAAAUUAACAUAAUAGACUCAU
RNAcentral lists this microRNA precursor (95 nucleotides) under Nicotiana sylvestris (wood tobacco). RNAcentral's name for it is "MIR6152 microRNA precursor family". It matches the Rfam family "MIR6152 microRNA precursor family". The record is from Rfam by way of RNAcentral. Lineage: Eukaryota; Viridiplantae; Streptophyta; Magnoliopsida; Solanales; Solanaceae.